Molecule: microRNA, 22 nt
Filed under: Mus musculus (house mouse)
Lineage: Eukaryota; Metazoa; Chordata; Mammalia; Rodentia; Muridae
Description: mmu-miR-6954-5p
Source: miRBase by way of RNAcentral
UGGGGCAGUUCUGGGGGCAGAU